GGAGAUGUAGCUCAGUCAGUAGAGUGCUUGCCUAGCAAGGAUGAGGACCUGGGUUCAAUACCCAGAACCCCA
This 72-nucleotide transfer RNA is filed under the name Cricetulus griseus (Chinese hamster). It matches the Rfam family "tRNA". Rfam says of the family: Transfer RNA (tRNA) molecules are approximately 80 nucleotides in length. Lineage: Eukaryota; Metazoa; Chordata; Mammalia; Rodentia; Cricetidae. The record is from Rfam by way of RNAcentral.